RNAcentral lists this ribosomal RNA (598 nucleotides) under Rhodococcus qingshengii. Its description in RNAcentral is "bacterial SSU rRNA". It matches the Rfam family "Bacterial small subunit ribosomal RNA", at positions 57 to 674 of the family's 1533-position model. Lineage: Bacteria; Bacillati; Actinomycetota; Actinomycetes; Mycobacteriales; Nocardiaceae. The record is from RNAcentral.
GCAGUCGAGCGGUAGGCCUUUCGGGGUACACGAGCGGCGAACGGGUGAGUAACACGUGGGUGAUCUGCCCUGCACUUCGGGAUAAGCCUGGGAAACUGGGUCUAAUACCGGAUAUGACCUCCUAUCGCAUGGUGGGUGGUGGAAAGAUUUAUCGGUGCAGGAUGGGCCCGCGGCCUAUCAGCUUGUUGGUGGGGUAAUGGCCUACCAAGGCGACGACGGGUAGCCGACCUGAGAGGGUGACCGGCCACACUGGGACUGAGACACGGCCCAGACUCCUACGGGAGGCAGCAGUGGGGAAUAUUGCACAAUGGGCGAAAGCCUGAUGCAGCGACGCCGCGUGAGGGAUGACGGCCUUCGGGUUGUAAACCUCUUUCAGCAGGGACGAAGCGCAAGUGACGGUACCUGCAGAAGAAGCACCGGCUAACUACGUGCCAGCAGCCGCGGUAAUACGUAGGGUGCAAGCGUUGUCCGGAAUUACUGGGCGUAAAGAGUUCGUAGGCGGUUUGUCGCGUCGUUUGUGAAAACCAGCAGCUCAACUGCUGGCUUGCAGGCGAUACGGGCAGACUUGAGUACUGCAGGGGAGACUGGAAUUCCUGGU